CCUACGGGUGGCAGCAGUGAGGAAUAUUGGUCAAUGGGCGCGAGCCUGAACCAGCCAAGUAGCGUGAAGGAUGACUGCCCUACGGGUUGUAAACAUCUUUUAUAAAGGAAUAAAGUGAGGCACGUGUGCCUUUUUGUAUGUACUUUAUGAAUAAGGAUAGGCUAACUCCGUGCCAGCAGCCACGGUAAUACGGAGGAUCCGAGCGUUAUCCGGAUUUAUUGGGUUUAAAGGGAUCGUAGUUUGUUUGUUAAGUCAGUUGUGAAAGUUUGCGGCUCAACCGUAAAAUUGCAAUUGAUACUGGCAGCAUUGAGUACAGUUGAGGUAGGUGGAAUUCGUGGUGGAGCGGUGAAAUGCUUAGAGAUCACGAAGAACUCAGAGUGCGAAGGCAGCCUACUAAACUGCCACUGACAUUGAUGCUCGAAAGUGUGGGUAUCAAACAGGAUUAGAUACCCGGGUAGUC
RNAcentral lists this ribosomal RNA (460 nucleotides) under uncultured bacterium. RNAcentral describes it as "partial 16S ribosomal RNA". It matches the Rfam family "Bacterial small subunit ribosomal RNA", at positions 338 to 795 of the family's 1533-position model. The record is from RNAcentral.